RNAcentral lists this ribosomal RNA (436 nucleotides) under Schaalia cardiffensis. Its description in RNAcentral is "bacterial SSU rRNA". It matches the Rfam family "Bacterial small subunit ribosomal RNA", at positions 43 to 465 of the family's 1533-position model. Lineage: Bacteria; Bacillati; Actinomycetota; Actinomycetes; Actinomycetales; Actinomycetaceae. The record is from RNAcentral.
CGUGCUUAACACAUGCAAGUCGAACGAUGAUGCGGUGCUUGCACCGUUGAUUAGUGGCGAACGGGUGAGUAACACGUGAGUAACCUGCCCUCUUCUUUGGGAUAACGGUCUGAAAGGGCUGCUAAUACUGAAUAUUCACAUGUCUUCGCAUGGGGGUGUGUGGAAAGAGAUGCUUUUGGGUGUUUUUGGUGGGGGAUGGGCUCGCGGCCUAUCAGCUUGUUGGUGGGGUAGUGGCCUACCAAGGCUUUGACGGGUAACCGGCCUGAGAGGGUGACCGGUCACAUUGGGACUGAGAUACGGCCCAGACUCCUACGGGAGGCAGCAGUGGGGAAUUUUGCACAAUGGACGCAAGUCUGAUGCAGCGACGCCGCGUGAGGGAUGUAGGCCUUCGGGUUGUGAACCUCUUUCGCUCAUGGUCAAGCCGCAGCUUUGGGUU